UACGAACUGUGCAAACGUUAUUCGGAAUCACUGGGCUUAAAGGGUGCGUAGGCGGCCAGCUAAGCAGGGUGUGAAAGCCCCCGGCUCAACCGGGGAAUUGCGCCCUGAACUAGCGGGCUGGAGUGAGAUAGGGGUGUGCGGAACUUCCAGUGGAGCGGUGAAAUGUGUUGAUAUUGGAAGGAACGCCGGUGGCGAAAGCGGCACACUGGGUCUCAACUGACGCUGAGGCACGAAAGCCAGGGGAGCAAACGGG
RNAcentral lists this ribosomal RNA (253 nucleotides) under uncultured bacterium. RNAcentral describes it as "partial 16S ribosomal RNA". It matches the Rfam family "Bacterial small subunit ribosomal RNA", at positions 524 to 776 of the family's 1533-position model. RNAcentral also lists the same sequence under 1 other name. The record is from RNAcentral.